RNAcentral lists this microRNA precursor (86 nucleotides) under Scleropages formosus (Asian bonytongue). RNAcentral's name for it is "let-7 microRNA precursor family". It matches the Rfam family "let-7 microRNA precursor family". Rfam says of the family: This family represents the microRNAs (miRNA) let-7 and mir-98. let-7 was identified from a study of developmental timing in C. elegans, and was later shown to be part of a much larger class of non-coding RNAs termed miRNAs. Lineage: Eukaryota; Metazoa; Chordata; Actinopteri; Osteoglossiformes; Osteoglossidae. The record is from Rfam by way of RNAcentral.
GCGAGGUGAGGUAGUAGGUUGUAUAGUUUGGUGGAAGGAAUCAUGCCUUCUCAGGAGAUAACUAUACAGUCUAUUGCCUUCCUUGA